This 1560-nucleotide long non-coding RNA is filed under the name Salmo salar (Atlantic salmon). RNAcentral's name for it is "lncRNA (ENSSSAG00000117433.1)". Lineage: Eukaryota; Metazoa; Chordata; Actinopteri; Salmoniformes; Salmonidae. The record is from RNAcentral.
AGACUACAUAUCUUUAUUUGUAUGUUACCAUCAUUAAUAUUGCUAUUUUUCUUUCUUUUUAGAUUUCUCCAUAAACAUAUUGGCAUUUAUAUAAUCUCAAACAAUGGAGGCUGGUGAAAGGAGCUGUAGGAGGAUGGGCUCAUUGUAAUGGCUUGAAUGGAAUAAAUGUAACUGUAUCAAACACAUCAAACAUAUGCAAAUCGAAUGUUUGUCUCUGUUCCAUUUCAGACAUUAAAAUGAGCCUGUCCUUCUAUAGUUCCUCCCACCAGCCUCCACUGAUCGCAAAAUCACAGGUCUCCAAACCACCAGUGCUGGUUAUAGACUCUCUCUCUUAGCCCAAGUACAUCCCCUUUACCAGGUUGGAAAAGAUAUGACAGAAACAUUUACAAUAUUAAAACUAUGACUAAUAUAGAUACACAUUACGAUUAGAUGCUGGUGUCAGGGACCAUAAUGGCUUAUAACAAUAAUAGACUAAUGUACCAAUGGGCCAGAAUGUUUCUUUGCAAUUACAUAUAAAUAUAUUUAGAUAUCUGAGACAGCAAGAUGAUUUUGAGUGUGAAGAACUACACUACAUGGCCAACAAUAUCUAUACAUUAUAGUAGCCUAAACAUGUGGUAUUGAGAGUGAAAACAUUUCAACAAUGAAAGACCUCUGCAAACGAAUACACUUUGACUUGAACACGUUACUGUGUGAAGAACAGUAUGUAUUUGAAAGUAGCAGUACUGAUCAGCUCCAUCCUGUCCAUAGAUCAGCCUCUCCUACUCAGAGAUGCUUGAUACAUGUGGCCCCAGGCCUCAGUGAGUCAUGCAGUCCUAUGACAAGCAGUGUAAAAGAGAUGGAAACAGCUAGGUGGUGAUUAUGGCCAUGUGACCUUGUAUUUGCAUAUUUAUGACCAAAUAUUCCCCUCUGCAUUCUGAUUUGAUUAAUAGCUGGAAUAAAUAGAGAAUUCAGUAUAAAUCUGAAAGUGAAAUGUAAUAGUAGUCCAUACACACAGUACACACAUUUAAAAUCAAGGCCAUAGGAAAGGUUGAAUUGAUUUUAACCUUCAUCCUCCAAAGGAAAGGAAUACUAAAAUAGCAACUACAUGCAUAUUGAUGUAGAGGUAAUGGAAUAUAUAUUUUAGUAUAAAUAUUUGAUCUGUCCAGGUCUGAGCGUGUAGUUCAUCAUAAAAGGUUGCUUCUCUUCCUCUGCCCUAGCUCGUUCACUCCCCUAGUCCGUCUCACAGAUCUAAGACAUCUGACUGGGCCCGUAUUCAGUCUAGGAUCAGCACCCCCUCCCUGUCUAUAUAGUCUUAAUGAAUAUGAUUUAAAAGGGAAAACUGAUCCUCGAUCAGCCUUCAUACUCUGAGAUGCUUUGUGAAUAUGGGCCCUGGUACAGUAGGUGUCAAGAAAACAAGCCUUCAGAUUGGAUAAGUGUUGGCGAUUCCACCAUGUUGCUUUCAUCCAUCCAGACAGAUUGGAUAGGAGGUGGACUUUCCACCAUGUUGCUUUCAUCCAUCCAGACAGAUUGGAUAGGAGGUGGACUUUCCACCAUGUUGCUUUCAUCCAUCCAGUCAGAUUG